Molecule: ribosomal RNA, 253 nt
Filed under: uncultured bacterium
Lineage: Bacteria
Description: partial 16S ribosomal RNA
Rfam family: Bacterial small subunit ribosomal RNA
Source: RNAcentral
UACGUAGGGUGCAAGCGUUGUCCGGAAUCAUUGGGCGUAAAGCGCGCGUAGGUGGUCAUGUAAGUCCGCUGUGAAAGUCAAAGGCUCAACCUUUGAAAGCCGGUGGAUACUGCAUGACUAGAGUACGGAAGAGGCGAGUGGAAUUCCUGGUGUAGCGGUGGAAUGCGCAGAUAUCAGGAGGAACACCAAUAGCGAAGGCAGCUCGCUGGGACGUUACUGACACUGAGGCGCGAAGGCCAGGGGAGCAAACGGG